Molecule: ribosomal RNA, 253 nt
Filed under: uncultured bacterium
Lineage: Bacteria
Description: partial 16S ribosomal RNA
Rfam family: Bacterial small subunit ribosomal RNA
Source: RNAcentral
UACAGAGGGUGCAAGCGUUAAUCGGAAUUACUGGGCGUAAAGCGCGCGUAGGUGGUUUGUUAAGUUGGAUGUGAAAUCCCCGGGCUCAACCUGGGAACUGCACUUGUGACUGCAUGGCUAGAGUGCGUCAGAGGGAGGUGGAAUUCCGCGUGUAGCAGUGAAAUGCGUAGAGAUGCGGAGGAACACCGAUGGCGAAGGCAGCCUCCUGGGAUGACACUGACGCUCAUGCACGAAAGCGUGGGGAGCAAACAGG